RNAcentral lists this ribosomal RNA (855 nucleotides) under Staphylococcus sp. RNAcentral describes it as "bacterial SSU rRNA". It matches the Rfam family "Bacterial small subunit ribosomal RNA", at positions 75 to 914 of the family's 1533-position model. Lineage: Bacteria; Bacillati; Bacillota; Bacilli; Caryophanales; Staphylococcaceae. The record is from RNAcentral.
GGAGCUUGCUCCUUUGACGUUAGCGGCGGACGGGUGAGUAACACGUGGGUAACCUACCUAUAAGACUGGGAUAACUUCGGGAAACCGGAGCUAAUACCGGAUAAUAUUUCGAACCGCAGGGUUCGAUAGUGAAAGAUGGUUUUGCUAUCACUUAUAGAUGGACCCGCGCCGUAUUAGCUAGUUGGUAAGGUAACGGCUUACCAAGGCGACGAUACGUAGCCGACCUGAGAGGGUGAUCGGCCACACUGGAACUGAGACACGGUCCAGACUCCUACGGGAGGCAGCAGUAGGGAAUCUUCCGCAAUGGGCGAAAGCCUGACGGAGCAACGCCGCGUGAGUGAUGAAGGUCUUCGGAUCGUAAAACUCUGUUAUUAGGGAAGAACAUACGUGUAAGUAACUAUGCACGUCUUGACGGUACCUAAUCAGAAAGCCACGGCUAACUACGUGCCAGCAGCCGCGGUAAUACGUAGGUGGCAAGCGUUAUCCGGAAUUAUUGGGCGUAAAGCGCGCGUAGGCGGUUUUUUAAGUCUGAUGUGAAAGCCCACGGCUCAACCGUGGAGGGUCAUUGGAAACUGGAAAACUUGAGUGCAGAAGAGGAAAGUGGAAUUCCAUGUGUAGCGGUGAAAUGCGCAGAGAUAUGGAGGAACACCAGUGGCGAAGGCGACUUUCUGGUCUGUAACUGACGCUGAUGUGCGAAAGCGUGGGGAUCAAACAGGAUUAGAUACCCUGGUAGUCCACGCCGUAAACGAUGAGUGCUAAGUGUUAGGGGGUUUCCGCCCCUUAGUGCUGCAGCUAACGCAUUAAGCACUCCGCCUGGGGAGUACGACCGCAAGGUUGAAACUCAAAGGAAUUGAC